GAUGAAGAACGCAGCGAAAUGCGAUACGUAAUGUGAAUUGCAAAUUCAGUGAAUCAUCGAGUCUUUGAACACACAUUGCGCCCCCUGGUAUUCCGGGGGGCAUUCCUGUCCGAGCGUCAUUGCUGCCCUCAAGCACGGCUUGUGUGUUGGGCCCCGUCCUCCGAUCCCGGGGGACGGGCCCGAAAGGCAGCGGCGGCACCGCGUCCGGUCCUCGAGCGUAUGGGGCUUUGUCACCCGCUCUGUAGGCCCGGCCGGCGCUUGCCGAUCAACCCAAAUUUUUAUCCAGGUUGACCUCGGAUCAGGUAGGGAUACCCGCUGAACUUAAGCAUAUCAAUAAGCGGAGGA
RNAcentral lists this unclassified non-coding RNA (345 nucleotides) under soil metagenome. RNAcentral describes it as "partial contains 5.8S ribosomal RNA, internal transcribed spacer 2, and large subunit ribosomal RNA". The stretch from base 1 to 119 matches the Rfam family "5.8S ribosomal RNA", at positions 35 to 154 of the family's 154-position model. The record is from RNAcentral.